CUCCACUUUACUCUAAGAUACAAGCUGCCACUCGUGUUUUAGGGCUGAUUUUGGCGUUCCAAAGAUUUACCAUUGCAGUUGCUCCUAGAGAGGCCCUUUCUCCCUAAAGCAACAUCUGGAUUCUUUAGCAUAAAAUUGGCAACAUCUAGACCCCAAGUUGUCCCAUUACCACAGGGUCUAUCGGGGGUGAUAAUUAUGGAAAUUACUGAUCACAGGUGUGUGACCUACACAGCAUGAUGCUAAAAAUAUUUCCACCUCCUUCGUGGUAAAGCUCCUGUUAUACCAUCACAAUGACUUUCUAUAUUACAUAUUUAAUUAUCCUUUCGCUUCAGAAAGUCUCUUGCUGAAAACACCAUCCAUGAACUGGUUCCUUACUGUUGAUGAUCCCCUUUUCAGCUGCCUUUAAUCGGUAGCUUGCUUAUCCCAUAAAUCUUCACUGUGAGUCAGGAGCCAUCCAACCUUCCAGCUUACAGCUCAUUUCCUCAGGAUCCCAGCAGACCACCAGUCCUUCCAGGAGCUUCUUCCUCUGAUUUCUCUGGAAAAUAGGGAAACAGAGCUCACUUUCAAAAGACAGCAAAGAGGACUUGCUACAUUUCAAUUUUCGGUUAGAAGAUGCACCCCUGGACAGGUCAAGAAUGACUGCCUCACCCUUUCAUACGGAAACUGACAGCUAAUUUCUUUGGAGGUGUCUGCCAGGAUUAAACAUUGAGAUCUUCUUCUUGUGCAUCCCGCGCUUUGUGUUUCCAGACAGGGCUGCCCCAUCCACAUCAGUCUAGACAGGUCAGUUCCAGCUGCCCUCUUCUCUUGUGAUUCAGCACUCCUCAAGCGUGACUUCAAUCCUUUCUGUAGCAACUCAGUCAGAACUUGCCAGCCAGCGAAAAGACGUCAAGAGUUAUAAUUCUUCUGGAAUAUAUAUUUUACAUUCACACCAUUAUUUCUCC
This 941-nucleotide long non-coding RNA is filed under the name Phasianus colchicus (ring-necked pheasant). RNAcentral describes it as "lncRNA (ENSPCLG00000007320.1)". The record is from RNAcentral. Lineage: Eukaryota; Metazoa; Chordata; Aves; Galliformes; Phasianidae.